Molecule: long non-coding RNA, 1547 nt
Filed under: Gossypium barbadense (sea-island cotton)
Lineage: Eukaryota; Viridiplantae; Streptophyta; Magnoliopsida; Malvales; Malvaceae
Description: long non-coding RNA (GBAR_LNC008631)
Source: RNAcentral
UUAUACACAUCCUAUGUACAUGCCACAUUACCAAAAGAAAAUAUACAUCACCAAAAGUUUGCUGAAAUCGGGUCUGGCUUUUGAUGCUGGUUCAAUAUUUGACUUCUACAACCUGCGCACGGAAACAACCGUAUGCUGAGUCUGCAUUACUCAGUGGUAUCACUAUAAUUCAAUUUAUAAUUAAAUACAUUAAAUCACACACAUACUUUUACAUUACAAUUAUCAUCACUUAAUGAACAAUUCAAUCUUUUGAUGUUAUCAUUUGAUUAUAUAUAUACCAUUCUUAUUUCUUUAUUUCAAUUCUCACCUUUCACAUAUACCAUAUUAUUCAAAUUUAGUUUUAUCAAUAAAUUUAUUUUAUUUGUCCCUAUUAACUUGACUCGGACUUAGUGGAUACAUGGAUUCCAACCAACACACCAGUACGACACAUUGUGCCUUAACGGUACACAGUACCUAAACAGUAAUCAGUAAUGGUAGCAGUAACAGUAUCAAUAAAGGUAACAGUAUUCGACACACAAAGUGUCGAAUCGGUAAUAGUAACUGUAACAGUAACAAUAGUCGGCACAUAAGUGCCUGAUCAGUAAGCCGGAAAAAACCCGUACUCUUCCAUAUCCUAUGGCAUGCGUACUAUAUCCGACUAGUUAAUAGGGUACUCAAAUCAUUUUUCAGUACAAUUUCUCAAUAUUAAUUAUAAUUUAUUAUUUCGAUCAAUUUUCACAGUAAUACAGUAAUUCGUUUCAUCAAAAAUUUUACAGUUCAAUGCAGUAUACGUAACAAUAUUCAGUAAUUUCACAGUUCAAUUCGGUAUUCAAAACAAUAUUCAAUAUCCCAUAAUUCAGUUCAGUAUUAAUCUCAAUUUUAAUACCCAAUCACAAAUUUUAUCAGAUCAUUAAAUACUUACCUUAAAAUACGUACUUGCCACACAUACAUAUUAAAUUAAAUACAUAUUAAUUAUAAAGCUUGAGUUAUAGUGAUACAAACCAGAAUUCUCUUCGGAUUUAAUCCUCGACGAUCUUUUCUUUUCCUUUUUGGGCUGAUGCUUCAGGCUCGAUAUUAGCUAGAAAACAAUUAAAAUAAUUUCACAAUUAUUAACACAACACAAUUUAAUUGCUGAAAUUUUUAUCUAACUUUUUACUUUAAUUUCAAAUUUAAUCCUAACUAAACCUAUAUAUUUUUCUUUCUCAAUUCAUACCUUUUUGCUACUCAAUUUCUUGCCAAACUCACAUUUAAUUAUUUAAUUUUUAUCAUAUUUUCAUAAUUUCAAAUUUAUUUCAAUUUAAUCCCUAAAACUCAAAACUUAUAAGUUAGUUUACAAUUCAAUUCUUUAUUCAAUUCCAAUCAAAAUUUCUAUCAAAUAAACCCCCAAUUCCAUUAUUUUUUCAACAUAAACCCUACUAAAAAAUCUAUUAGCUUUCAAAAUUUCAACUUAAAUUCAACAAAACUUUAUUCUAGAGCUUCUAAAACAUCAAAAUUAAAAAAAUGACUUAAUUAAGCUUACCAAUUAAACUCCAAGCUUCAAAUUCCCUACUUCCCCUUUUUCUUUCUUU